RNAcentral lists this ribosomal RNA (92 nucleotides) under Anaerosolibacter carboniphilus. Lineage: Bacteria; Bacillati; Bacillota; Clostridia; Peptostreptococcales; Thermotaleaceae. The record is from RNAcentral.
CACCUGUUCCCAUACCGAACACAGAAGUUAAGCCCUUCAGCGCUGAUGGUACUUAGGGGGUAGCCCCUUGGGAGAGUAGGUCGUCGCUGGUU